GCCAGAGUCAUUCAACCCUCAAGAGCUGACAGUGAUCAGGGAAAAGAAGUAUGGUAGACUUCCAAAAGGACAUCUGUAUGUUUGGACACCAACAGAACAAGAAGAAUCAUCAAAGGAGUAAUGAAGUCACCAAGAGUUCUAGUCUAUGACCACUGACACUGGAACAAAAUGUCCCCAUUUGACAGACCAUUCCUGAGAAGAUUGAUCUGAAAAAUAUUGAAGGCAAUGAUCUUAUAGAAUGGCAGAUGAAGGAAGAAACACAAAAGCAGCAGCUCUGGGACUCACUCUUGUCUAGACAAUUGGCUUCUGGCUGGGUGCCUUAUAUCAAUGUUUCUAUAUCCAACUUUGAUGAUAAUCCCCUAAGGAUUUCUCUCAGCCUGUUCUUCACUGCAACCACUGUAAAAUCAUAGCAAAAACAAGGAUAAUGAAAAGAAGGUCACUUUGUACCCCACCUGGGUUCUAGAAUUAAAUCCAGCUCAGGUCAGAAAUAAGCCAUGGGACCCAGUUGCUGUCACCUACCAUCAGACCUCAGUGA
Long non-coding RNA from Mustela erminea (ermine), 535 nucleotides. RefSeq lists it as uncharacterized. The record is from RefSeq and is a predicted model, not a curated record. Lineage: Eukaryota; Metazoa; Chordata; Mammalia; Carnivora; Mustelidae. The transcript is spliced from 4 exons.